AUUAGUGGCGAACGGGUGAGUAACACGUGGGCAACCUGCCCCAGACACCGGGAUAACCUUCCGAAAGGAUGGCUAAUACCGGAUACGACCACUUCGGGGCAUCCGACGGUGGUGGAAAGGAUUCUGGUCUGGGAUGGGCCCGCGGCCUAUCAGCUUGUUGGUGGGGUAAUGGCCUACCAAGGCGACGACGGGUAGCCGGCCUGAGAGGGCGACCGGCCACACUGGGACUGAGACACGGCCCAGACUUCCUACGGGAGGCAGCAGUGGGAAUAUUGCGCAAUGGGCGAAAGCCUGACGCAGCGACGCCGCGUGAGGGACGAAGGUCUUCGGAUUGUAAACCUCUUUCAGCAGGGACGAAGCGAAAGUGACUGUACCUGCAGAAGAAGCACCGGCUAACUACGUG
This 403-nucleotide ribosomal RNA is filed under the name uncultured bacterium. Its description in RNAcentral is "bacterial SSU rRNA". It matches the Rfam family "Bacterial small subunit ribosomal RNA", at positions 91 to 507 of the family's 1533-position model. The record is from RNAcentral.